This 119-nucleotide ribosomal RNA is filed under the name Pteropus alecto (black flying fox). RNAcentral also lists the same sequence under 1 other name. Lineage: Eukaryota; Metazoa; Chordata; Mammalia; Chiroptera; Pteropodidae. The record is from RNAcentral.
AUCUAUGGCCAUGCCACCCUGAACAAGCCCAAUCCUGUCUGAUCUCAGAAGCUAAGCAGGGUCAGGCCUGCUUAGUACUUGGAUGGGAGACCACCUAGGAAGACCAGGUGCUGUAGGUG